UGGACUGGGUUCUGAGCUGGACUGGGUCCAGUAUAAAGCCUUGGGUAAAUAAACUUUUGUUUUAAUGCUGAACAGCUAGGUUAAUCUUACCAACGCUAAAGUGGAAUCACAGUGGCCCCAGUGGAGAAAUUUUAACCUGAUAAAUGUAUCCAUUUUUGGGAUACUCUUGAGAAAAAGGAGUAUUGCCCAAGUACUCACCAUAAAGGGUGGAGGAGAAAUAAUCUUUCUUCCUCUACAGUUUCUGGUGACCAAGAUGAGAUCCACUGGGACACCCCACUCACUCCAGAGCCUGCAGAUAGGAUCUGGCGAAAACUGAUAGAAAUCAGCAAAAAGUAAGAAUCCUUACUGAAGUCGGCUCUCCCAGAUUUCCCUCUAUGGUACAUAGUGGAGAAAGGAAGAUAAAAUCGUUCCUUUCCAAAUUCAAAUUGUCAGGAAAAACAUUUGUAAGCAUUAGACCUUUGAACUGUGACUCAUGGAUUUGCUUCUGGGUACCAAUUGGUUAUUGAUCCUUUCCCAGAAACAGUUAGUGCCUUUUUAUUUUCUAGUGGUGUGUGCUGAGAGCCUAGCUUGCCUUUCUGCCUGCCUGGACAUGUAGGUUCUUAUAUGCACAGGCAGGUGAACCUUCAGGUUGGGGGCUCUAAAAUAUGGCUGAACAGAAGUGUGUAAAAAAGAGAGUAACUGUGACUUAAAGUAAAAUGACUGGUCGUUCCAGAGUGAGAAGGAGGAAAAGAAAGAAUGGAUAAGAGUGUUGCAGGAAAGGAAUCUUGGGAGAUUCAUGGAAAAGACUCUGAGAACAACUCUGGAAUACAGAUUUCUGAUAACUUGAAGAUCAUGGAGCUGAAUGGGAGAAGAAUUUCCAGAACUAAUGGAAAAACUGGAUUCAAGAAAAUGAGAAUAAAAAGAUAUUGAAUGAAAUGAUGAGGAUAAUUAUGAUUACUUUUAUAACUUUUUCUGUGAAGCAUUCCUUAUUGUUUUGAUUUUCCAGAUUUAAGGGAAGUUUCUUCUCUUUUUUCUUAAUUACCUAUGACUUAAUGUUGUCAAUAUACCUUUGUCAAAAGAAUGGAAACAUUUACUUUUUCUCCCUAUAUAAUCCCCCCAUAAUUCAGAAACUUAUUGAGCAUUCUUAAUUUCAUAGCAAUAUAAUUAUUUGCACAACUUCAAUAGGAAUCAGAUC
Long non-coding RNA from Acinonyx jubatus (cheetah), 1174 nucleotides. RefSeq lists it as uncharacterized. The record is from RefSeq and is a predicted model, not a curated record. Lineage: Eukaryota; Metazoa; Chordata; Mammalia; Carnivora; Felidae. The transcript is spliced from 3 exons.